AUGCUCCCCGCCAUGAUGAUAAAGGACUGAACCUCUGAAACUCUAUCAAAGGGCCUGACAGCAGAUCCUGGGACCAUCACCCUGGAGACAGCCCUGGGGGCCGUAGGGGGGUAAAUGAAGAGGAACUGUUCAACAGAUGGAUGCUCCUGUAAGCCCAUCAAGAGACUUUGAUUUGGACUUUAAAAAAAUAUCCUGUGUUGUGGCGUCUCCUGUUUCCCCAGUCUAACCUGUAAUGCUAAUAACCCCUGGCUUCACUUCGCCCUCACAUCUCCUUCUGGGCACCAGCGGAGGACUUCCUUUCCUACCUAUACCUGGCUGUUACACAAAUGAAACCACCAAUGCACUUCGGGAGCCUUUUAGAUAGGUCACUGGAGGGGUACUCUGACUGUCAUGCCUGACACCACCUCAGCAGGAAGAAGACAGAUCCAUCAUCACCUCAUUUCCACAAUGGUCAGUAUUGGAUCCAAGAAUGAGACCACCUUAGGGAGGCAAGCUGCUGCUUGUUAGUUGGAAAGGGAGGUCUCUAAAAAUCAAAGGGAGGUCUGGUUUCCAUGCUACUGGCCUCGGCUCUCCCUAAGGAAGGUGUUCAUACAUAAUUACACAGAAGGGGACAGGGAGAAGGCAAAAAGAUGCCUUACAACCAGAAAUGUGUGUGUGCUGGAGAAGUACAACUGAAAGCCAGACGCAGCAGCCAAGAAAACCUGCUCCAUAUUUGUGUGUGACAAAGCCGGCUUCCUUUUAGAAAUAGCAACGUAUCCAAGUUCACCAAGCAAAAGCAAGCAAAGAAGUAACCACACAGUCCUGAGUAGAGCAUUAAGCAAGCUUAACCUACACGCGCGGAGUGGCCCUCGGCUGGGCCCAGGAUUCCGGCGCCGGAGGCGGCAGGUAGCUAGAGAAGAACCAGCCUCACCCCCGGGGCAGGCCGCGAAGUUGCAGUCGCCUUUACCUGGAC
Myodes glareolus (Bank vole) is the source of this 952-nucleotide long non-coding RNA. RefSeq lists it as uncharacterized. The record is from RefSeq and is a predicted model, not a curated record. NCBI's taxonomy places the organism in Eukaryota, Metazoa, Chordata, Mammalia, Rodentia, Cricetidae.